UCCUGACAGCGGCGCUGUGCCGCUGACUCUAGCCACGACAGGAGUUACCCAUG
Molecule: non-coding RNA, 53 nt
Filed under: unclassified sequences
Description: Mu-gpT-DE RNA
Rfam family: Mu-gpT-DE RNA
Source: Rfam by way of RNAcentral